RNAcentral lists this ribosomal RNA (3443 nucleotides) under Triticum aestivum (bread wheat). RNAcentral describes it as "partial small subunit ribosomal RNA". The record is from RNAcentral. Lineage: Eukaryota; Viridiplantae; Streptophyta; Magnoliopsida; Poales; Poaceae.
UUUGGUUCGUGCGGUCAGGGGCGUGUUUCUGGUUCAAGGUGUCAUGGAUAGUGCACAGGAUGGGGGACCACCGGACCAGGGCAGUGACAUCCAGCUCCUACUGGUGGAGUCCCAGGGUUGCAUGUCAACAACUGUAUUUCUCCUCCCCUCAACCCCCACGAACUAUCUAUUCUGUUUCUGCAAUUUCAAUGGCUUAGUUUCAUGUGUCAGAUCAUUGUUGCCUGCGUAUUCCCGUCUCCACCACUGAAGACCAAUGGUGACUGCGGGCAGUAUUCAUGCUCUGGUGCAGGCUGAUUGUCCUCUUAUAUCAGGCUGAUGGUUGUUGCCCAAUUGGGCAAUGGUUGUCUCCUCUUAUACAAAACGUGAUGUGUGUUGAUCUUCUUAAAUAAUGCCGCUCAUACAUAUACUUCAAAUAUUGGUACAGACAAGAAUAGGAAAGCCUAUAGGUACAAAAUAGAUAGGAAAGCCUCUUUAAUUAUUUCAUUUCUAGGGUUUGAUGUCAAGGAGAUUCCUAUACCAAUGGUGACAGUGGGCAGUAUUCAUGCUCUGUUGCAUGUAUGCUUAUCCUCUCCACCCACUCUUUUCCAACUCUCUCCUGAUGUAGCCCAUUUUGAUGUUUAGAUCUCUCAAAUCCAUAUGCACUCUUGUUGUGCACUUUAGUGAUUAGGAAUCUAAUGUUUGAUCAAAUUAUAUCUUCAGUUUUUGUGCUCAUGGAGUGCUUGAUGAAUUGCUUGCAGGAAGCGGGGUUUAAUGAUGUACAAUUUUGGAGCUGCUGGUUUAAUUGUUCAAAUGGGAGCUUCAUAGGGAGAGUGGAUGUUUCAGAAUGGUGCGGACAGGUUGAGCAGCAAUAGAUGUUUUUUAAGUCCUAGGUGAGCACUCCAGGUUCUGUGAAUUUUCCCUUCAUAGUACUGCAGUAUUUUCAUACUUCAAGGAAAUAGAAAUAAUAUGGUUUCUCUCUCCCGGUUUGUUACUACCGAGAAUGGAACUCGAGAAGAGGUACUUUUGGUGUUGUCCUAUUACCUCCCGUAUCUAAUAGAUGACACAAAGUUAUCAGUUUAGUUGGCAAGAGCAAAAGUCCACAUCAAUUGUGAGGAUAUGAUGAUUGGCAUACUUACCCCCUGAUGAUGCCUCACUUCUUCAGAAUUUGAGGCUGUUCUUGAUAUGUCAGGUUUUGUGCUGUUUGCCUCUCGGGUAGGUCCCUGCAUGAAUCUUACCUUCGGCAGUGAGCUGAGAAAAUUAGCCCCACCUUUUUUUGCUGCCCUACUAUUCGAUGAAAUGCUUGUGCCCUGAUGGAUUCCGUUCUUUUUUUGUUGGUGUUCCUUCUCAUCCUGCCUGCUUUGCAAGUCUUUGUUUCACCUAUUGUCUCGGUUCAAUUGAUUGUCCAUGCCUUGGCACGUUCUGUGUAUGAUGUAAAUUCGGAACAAUGGAUUUGGUUUUCCGAACCAUAAAACUUAUGUAGCUUGAAUUAGCAGAUUGCACCAUGAAAAGACAUACUUUCCUUUAAAAAAUAAUGUGUAUCAGUACCUCUUUAGACCCUGCUGCUUGCGAUCUGAACCAGUAUAUACUUUUCUACAGUUUAGAUGUUAUAUCAGUUUGCAGAUGAAUUCGUGGCUAAUACCAGCAUUGUGAAUUUUUCAUGUUUGUCUUCCUUUAAACCACCAUAAAACUUAUCUAGCUUGAAUUAGCAGAUUGCACCAUGAAAAGACAUAUUGUCCUUUAAAAAUAAUGUGUAUUAGUACCUCUUUAGACCCUGCUGCUUGCGAUCUGAACCAGUAUAUACUUUUCUACAGUUUAGAUGUUAUAUCAGUUUGCAGAUGAAUUCGUGGCUAAUACCAGCAUUGUGAAUUUUUCAUGUUUGUCUUCCUUUAAACCUGAUGCAUGCAUGUGCAUGAUGCUCGUUGAUGACUAUUCCAUUUGUUUUACUGACCAAUUUUUGAGAGGGAGGGUGGAGGGAGUUGGCUCUUGUGUUUGUUGAUUGCUUUGCAGAUUUAUUGGUGUUUGGUUCAGAUAGAACAGCUCCAUUUGCAUUAGCAACUGUUUGUGGAGUCCCUCGCUGCUACAGAAUGGGGUGAAGAAUGCAAGGAAGUUGCCCAUUGUCUCUCGUCACCCGACCAAGGAUAGGUUUGACUGACAGAGGAAGUCAAUUGAGGAGUAUGUUGACACCAGAGUCCAAGACCAUGGGUGAAGCAUUUUAAUCAAUCUGUUGUUUUGGUAAGUUUCUUGCGUUCUUAGGAUUUAAAAUAACUGCAAGGAUUGUAGAGUUCUAAUGGUUGUGUUGGGUGUUUGCGGUGGCGAGGCUGAGCAGAUCAAACUGUACGCAUGGACCGUGACUAAUGGUGUGCCAGUGUGGUGGUGCCUGCCACACACUCACACAGGUUCUUGGUACUCUCUGUAACCUGUAGAUGAUGGGCGGCGAAUCCGGCAACCACAGAUCCAUUCUCCUGCAUAAUUUUCGUUUUUUCAUUUGAUUUGGUACAAGGCCUACUCAGAAUGGGUUCCCUGAUCUCAAAAUUGUCAGUUUUCUUGCCUUUAGUUUAUAGGUACCUUAACAAAUACAUGUAUUACCAUAUUGGCAGUCAGCACCAUGCGUCAUUCAUUCUUCAUGAUCUCAUAUUUGAGGUUAGCAGUUCGAAGUAAUGUAAGAGCUUGCAUGUUUAUAGUUCUAACUAACUUUUAGUUUAGCGUAGGAUAAGUCUUCCAUGAAUUCUUAGUUAGUUGUUUAUUUUUGCUGGCUGUGCAUGACACUGCAAUUUUUUCAUAAUUUCUUUAAAAGUUAACUAUUUUCUUAUCUACAAUUAACUGGUUGUUCCUCCUAGCCGUUAGCAAGUCUGUCGUCCCUGACCACCCUGUCAGCCAUCUAUACAACUGUGGUUCAUGCCUACGUGCUAUCCGCUCCUAAAUUCUCACACCAUGUCAGGUGUUUAGAAGUGAUGAUCAUUGUGGUCUUUAGUUGUCAUGGCUGUAAUCCUAGCGCAUGGGCUUUUGCGGGCUGGUCCAACCGGAGUUGGUUGAUGGCAGGGGCUCCGCUCCAGCUACCGUAUGGCUGAAGAAGGGAUGCAAAUGGUUUUACAGUGAAAAGCUGAAAAAGUUGUGACGGCGAUGAAAGGACUGAAAGAUUUGCUCGAAGCAAAGACAUCUAGCCGAGAUACAUAUGCAACGAAGAGGAGGGAUCUUAUGUAUAAUAUGCGACAUCCAUGGUGCUGAAGGAUUCGUCGCACGCCAAACAGAGCACCCGAGGAGAUGCUCUGAAGAGAGGAAAUGAUAUGUUUUUUUUUUGUUUUAAGAGAAGAUAGGAGUCGAUAUGUUGUCCCCUGACUUCUAUACUGAUCCACAACACUUCACAAAAGAGUAUAUAUCAAGAUAUGUAGUCCCCUGACUUCUAUACUAUUACUGAUCCACAACACUUCACAAAAGAGUAUAUAUCAACAUCGUAUGCUACAAAU